GACGAACGCUGGCGGCGUGCUUAACACAUGCAAGUCGAGCGGUAAGGCCCUUUCGGGGGUACACGAGCGGCGAACGGGUGAGUAACACGUGGGUGACCUGCCCUCAGCUCUGGGAUAAGCCUGGGAAACCGGGUCUAAUACUGGAUAUGACUCCAUGACGCAUGUUGUGGGGUGGAAAGCCUUGUGCGGCUGAGGAUGGGCCCGCGGCCUAUCAGCUUGUUGGUGGGGGAUGGCCUACCAAGGCGACGACGGGUAGCCGGCCUGAGAGGGCGACCGGCCACACUGGGACUGAGACACGGCCCAGACUCCUACGGGAGGCAGCAGUGGGGAAUCUCGCGCAAUGGGCGAAGGCCUGACGCAGCGACGCCGCGUGAGGGAUGACGG
This 384-nucleotide ribosomal RNA is filed under the name uncultured bacterium. RNAcentral describes it as "bacterial SSU rRNA". It matches the Rfam family "Bacterial small subunit ribosomal RNA", at positions 28 to 414 of the family's 1533-position model. The record is from RNAcentral.